This 218-nucleotide unclassified non-coding RNA is filed under the name Preussia flanaganii. RNAcentral's name for it is "partial internal transcribed spacer region". The stretch from base 1 to 46 matches the Rfam family "Eukaryotic small subunit ribosomal RNA", at positions 1786 to 1831 of the family's 1831-position model. The record is from RNAcentral. Lineage: Eukaryota; Fungi; Ascomycota; Dothideomycetes; Pleosporales; Sporormiaceae.
AAGUCGUAACAAGGUUUCCGUAGGUGAACCUGCGGAAGGAUCAUUAUCGUGGGGCUUCGGCCCUCUCGAGAUAGAACCCUUGCCUUUUUGAGUACCUUUCGUUUCCUCGGCGGGCUCGCCUGCCAAUGGGGACCCCAAUAAACCCUUUUGUAAUACCUGUAAUCGUCUGACAAAAUAAACAAAAAUUAAAACUUUCAACAACGGAUCUCUUGGUUCUG